Molecule: ribosomal RNA, 467 nt
Filed under: uncultured bacterium
Lineage: Bacteria
Description: partial 16S ribosomal RNA
Rfam family: Bacterial small subunit ribosomal RNA
Source: RNAcentral
GACGAACGCUGGCGGCGUGCUUAACACAUGCAAGUCGAACGAUGACGACCGAGCUUGCUCGGUCUGAUUAGUGGCGAACGGGUGAGUAACACGUGAGCAACCUGCCCUUCACUCUGGGAUAACCUCGGGAAAUCGGGGCUAAUACCGGAUAUGAGCUCCUGUCGCAUGGCGGGUGUUGGAAAGUUUUUCGGUGAAGGAUGGGCUCGCGGCCUAUCAGUUUGUUGGUGGGGUAGUGGCUCACCAAGGCGAUGACGGGUAGCCGGCCUGAGAGGGCGACCGGCCACACUGGGACUGAGACACGGCCCAGACUCCUACGGGAGGCAGCAGUGGGGAAUAUUGCACAAUGGGCGAAAGCCUGAUGCAGCGACGCCGCGUGAGGGAUGACGGCCUUCGGGUUGUAAACCUCUUUCAGCAGGGAAGAAGCGAAAGUGACGGUACCUGCAGAAGAAGCGCCGGCUAACUACGUG